Molecule: ribosomal RNA, 562 nt
Filed under: Trichoderma harzianum
Lineage: Eukaryota; Fungi; Ascomycota; Sordariomycetes; Hypocreales; Hypocreaceae
Description: eukaryotic LSU rRNA
Rfam family: 5.8S ribosomal RNA (bases 188-341)
Source: RNAcentral
CCAACCCAAUGUGAACGUUACCAAACUGUUGCCUCGGCGGGAUCUCUGCCCCGGGUGCGUCGCAGCCCCGGACCAAGGCGCCCGCCGGAGGACCAACCUAAAACUCUUAUUGUAUACCCCCUCGCGGGUUUUUUUUAUAAUCUGAGCCUUCUCGGCGCCUCUCGUAGGCGUUUCGAAAAUGAAUCAAAACUUUCAACAACGGAUCUCUUGGUUCUGGCAUCGAUGAAGAACGCAGCGAAAUGCGAUAAGUAAUGUGAAUUGCAGAAUUCAGUGAAUCAUCGAAUCUUUGAACGCACAUUGCGCCCGCCAGUAUUCUGGCGGGCAUGCCUGUCCGAGCGUCAUUUCAACCCUCGAACCCCUCCGGGGGGUCGGCGUUGGGGAUCGGCCCUCCCUUAGCGGGUGGCCGUCUCCGAAAUACAGUGGCGGUCUCGCCGCAGCCUCUCCUGCGCAGUAGUUUGCACACUCGCAUCGGGAGCGCGGCGCGUCCACAGCCGUUAAACACCCAACUUCUGAAAUGUUGACCUCGGAUCAGGUAGGAAUACCCGCUGAACUUAAGCAUAUC